CCUACGGGAGGCAGCAGUAGGGAAUCUUCCACAAUGGGCGAAAGCCUGAUGGAGCAACGCCGCGUGGGUGAAGAAGGUCUUCGGAUCGUAAAACCCUGUUGUUAGAGAAGAAAGUGCGUGAGCGUAACUGUUCACGUUUCGACGGUAUCUAACCAGAAAGCCACGGCUAACUACGUGCCAGCAGCCGCGGUAAUACGUAGGUGGCAAGCGUUAUCCGGUUUUAUUGGGCGUAAAGGGAACGCAGGCGGUUUUUUAAGUCUGAUGUGAAAGUCUUCGGCUUAACCGGAGUAGUGCAUUGGAGACUGGGAGACUUGAGUGCAGAAGAGGAAGGUGGAACUCGAGGUGUAGCGGUGAAAUGCGUAGAUAUAUGGAAGAACACCAGUGGCGAAGGCAGCUCUCUAGUCUGUAACUGACGCUGAGGUUCGAAAGCGUGGGUAGCAAACAGGAUUAGAUACCCUAGUAGUC
RNAcentral lists this ribosomal RNA (465 nucleotides) under uncultured bacterium. RNAcentral's name for it is "partial 16S ribosomal RNA". It matches the Rfam family "Bacterial small subunit ribosomal RNA", at positions 338 to 795 of the family's 1533-position model. The record is from RNAcentral.